UGAACGCUACGGGAUGCUUCCACAUGCUUUAUCGAACGGCAGCACGGACUUCGGUCUGGUGUGCGAGUGGCGAACGGGUGAGUAAUGUAUCGGAACGUGCCCAGUAGCGGGGUGAUAACUACGCGAAAGCGUAGCUAAUACCGCAUACGCCCUACGGGGGAAAGCAGUGGAUCGUAAGACCUUGCACUAUUGGAGCGGCCGAUAUCGGAUUAGCUAGUUGGUGGGGUAACGGCUCACCAAGGCGACGAUCCGUAGCUGGUUUGAGAGGACGACCAGCCACACUGGGACUGAGACACGGCCCAGACUCCUACGGGAGGCAGCAGUGGGGAAUUUUGGACAAUGGGGGAAACCCUGAUCCAGCCAUCCCGCGUGUGCGAUGAAGGCCUUCGGGUUGUAAAGCACUUUUGGCAGGGAAGAAACGUCAUGGGUUAAUACCCCGUGAAACUGACGGUACCUGCAGAAUAAGCACCGGCUAACUACGUGCCAGCAGCCGCGGUAAU
This 500-nucleotide ribosomal RNA is filed under the name uncultured bacterium. Its description in RNAcentral is "bacterial SSU rRNA". It matches the Rfam family "Bacterial small subunit ribosomal RNA", at positions 30 to 524 of the family's 1533-position model. The record is from RNAcentral.